RNAcentral lists this ribosomal RNA (374 nucleotides) under uncultured eukaryote. RNAcentral's name for it is "partial 18S ribosomal RNA". It matches the Rfam family "Eukaryotic small subunit ribosomal RNA", at positions 592 to 975 of the family's 1831-position model. The record is from RNAcentral.
UAAUAGCGUAUAUUUAAGUUGUUGCAGUUAAAAAGCUCGUAGUUGGAUUUCGGUUAAGAGCGACCGGUCCGCCGUUUGGUGUGCACUGGUUGGUUUUAACUUCCUGUAGAGGACGUGCUCUGGGUUUAACGACCUGGACUCGGAGUCUACGUGGUUACUUUGAAAAAAUUAGAGUGUUCAAAGCGGGCUUACGCUUGAAUAUUUCAGCAUGGAAUAACACUAUAGGACUCCUGUCCUAUUUCGUUGGUCUCGGGACGGGAGUAAUGAUUAAGAGGAACAGUUGGGGGCAUUCGUAUUUCAUUGUCAGAGGUGAAAUUCUUGGAUUUAUGAAAGACGAACUUCUGCGAAAGCAUUUGCCAAGGAUGUUUNCAUUA